AUUGAACGCUGGCGGCAUGCCUUACACAUGCAAGUCGAACGGCAGCACGGGUGCUUGCACCUGGUGGCGAGUGGCGAACGGGUGAGUAAUACAUCGGAACAUGUCCUGUAGUGGGGGAUAGCCCGGCGAAAGCCGGAUUAAUACCGCAUACGAUCUACGGAUGAAAGCGGGGGACCUUCGGGCCUCGCGCUAUAGGGUUGGCCGAUGGCUGAUUAGCUAGUUUGUGGGGUAAAGGCCUACCAAGGCGACGAUCAGUAGCUGGUCCGAGAGGACGAACAGCCCCACGGGGGACUGGCACCCGGCCCAACCCCCUCGGGGAGGCAGCGGGGGGAAUUUUUGGCAAGGGGGGAAAACCUUGACCCACAAAGGCCGGGUGUGUAAAAAAGGCCUUCGGGUUGAAAACCCUUUUUUUCGGGAAAAAAAUCUUUGGCCCAAAACCGGUCGGGGGUUGCCGGAACCGAAAAAAAAACCCCCGGCAACUUCCGG
This 486-nucleotide ribosomal RNA is filed under the name uncultured bacterium. Its description in RNAcentral is "partial 16S ribosomal RNA". It matches the Rfam family "Bacterial small subunit ribosomal RNA", at positions 29 to 506 of the family's 1533-position model. The record is from RNAcentral.